AGUGAACGCUGGCGGUAGGCCUAACACAUGCAAGUCGAACGGCAGCACAGUAAGAGCUUGCUCUUACGGGUGGCGAGUGGCGGACGGGUGAGGAAUACAUCGGAAUCUACUUUUUCGUGGGGGAUAACGUAGGGAAACUUACGCUAAUACCGCAUACGACCUACGGGUGAAAGCAGGGGAUCUUCGGACCUUGCGCGAUUGAAUGAGCUGAUGUCGGAUUAGCUAGUUGGCGGGGUAAAGGCCCACCAAGGCGACGAUCCGUAGCUGGUCUGAGAGGAUGAUCAGCCACACUGGAACUGAGACACGGUCCAGACUCCUACGGGAGGCAGCAGUGGGGAAUAUUGGACAAUGGGCGCAAGCCUGAUCCAGCCAUACCGCGUGGGUGAAGAGGGCCUUCGGGUUGUAAAGCCCUUUUGUUGGGAAAGAAAAGCAGCAGGUUAAUACCCCGCUGUUCUGACGGUACCCAAAGAAUAAGCACCGGCUAACUUCGUG
Molecule: ribosomal RNA, 492 nt
Filed under: uncultured bacterium
Lineage: Bacteria
Description: partial 16S ribosomal RNA
Rfam family: Bacterial small subunit ribosomal RNA
Source: RNAcentral